CAUUAUUUCAGUUGGAGCUUCAGAAAACAUACUGCAACUACGUUUCACUUUAUAAUCUUGAAGCAAUUAGAAAGCGCACGAAACUAAAACAGAACGAUAGCCGCAGUACACUUCCAUUACGUCAUAGCAUGAGCACUCGGAGUGAAUAAAGGAACGUACCUACAGUGUCUUUAGUAUACAUAAGCCAUGUUCCAAAAUUAACUGGAAGUCUGUUAUUGAAAUGACUGACUUUUACCGUUUCGAAAUUUAAAUUUUUAUUUAAAUAUUUAUUAUCUAGUACUGGAUUUCGGAACGGAAAAGCAGUGUAAAGCAAUAAAAAAGUGUACAUAAAAAAAUCAAAACAUAACCAAUAUGGAUCAACAUAUGUUAUUCAAUGCUAUUAGAAUAAUAAUCGAAAACGAUUCAAGUGAUAAUAAUUCUAAUGAUGAUAUGAUGUUACAAAUUAUUAAUAAAUAAGAUUGAUAGUAAACAUGGAUCACUGUUUUUAAAACCACGCAUACAAAAUUAUAUUCAAAACGUAGUUUCUAUAUUAACAGAUGCAAACUUUAAAUCACAUUUUGGAUAAGAAAAAAUAUCUCGAGAAACUUUCCAUUGGUCCUAUUAUUAACCAUAAUAGGACCAAAGUUAGAAAAAAAGUCAAAUCCUGAUCUGCAGAUACAUAAUACUUGGUCGCCUUCCCCAUUAAUUUGUAAAGGCCAGAAAUGAACCAGAAGUCACACGUAGAAUUUUGGAAAAUGCAAAAAUUGCCGGCAUCUUCCAAUAUGUCCAAUGAUACAUCAAAAAAAA
Long non-coding RNA from Pogonomyrmex barbatus (red harvester ant), 786 nucleotides. Lineage: Eukaryota; Metazoa; Arthropoda; Insecta; Hymenoptera; Formicidae. The record is from RefSeq and is a predicted model, not a curated record.